UACCAAGGCUUGACAUACACGAGAACGGGCCAGAAAUGGUCAACUCUUUGGACACUCGUGAACAGGUGGUGCAUGGUUGUCGUCAGCUCGUGUCGUGAGAUGUUGGGUUAAGUCCCGCAACGAGCGCAACCCUCGUUCUAUGUUGCCAGCACGUAAUGGUGGGAACUCAUGGGAUACUGCCGGGGUCAACUCGGAGGAAGGUGGGGAUGACGUCAAAUCAUCAUGCCCCUUAUGUCUUGGGCUUCACGCACGCUACAAUGGCCGGUACAAUGGGCUGCGAUACCGUAAGGUGGAGCGAAUCCCAAAAAGCCGGUCCCAGUUCGGAUUGAGGUCUGCGACUCGACCUCAUGAAGUCGGAGUCGCUAGUAAUCGCAGAUCAGCAACGCUGCGGUGA
Molecule: ribosomal RNA, 394 nt
Filed under: uncultured bacterium
Lineage: Bacteria
Description: bacterial SSU rRNA
Rfam family: Bacterial small subunit ribosomal RNA
Source: RNAcentral